RNAcentral lists this ribosomal RNA (468 nucleotides) under uncultured bacterium. RNAcentral's name for it is "partial 16S ribosomal RNA". It matches the Rfam family "Bacterial small subunit ribosomal RNA", at positions 28 to 507 of the family's 1533-position model. The record is from RNAcentral.
GACGAACGCUGGCGGCGUGCUUAACACAUGCAAGUCGAACGGAAAGGCCCUGCUUUUGUGGGGUGCUCGAGUGGCGAACGGGUGAGUAACACGUGAGUAACCUGCCCUUGACUUUGGGAUAACUUCAGGAAACUGGGGCUAAUACCGGAUAGGAGCUCCUGCUGCAUGGUGGUGGUUGGAAAGUUUCGGCGGUUGGGGAUGGACUCGCGGCUUAUCAGCUUGUUGGUGGGGUAGUGGCUUACCAAGGCUUUGACGGGUAGCCGGCCUGAGAGGGUGACCGGCGACAUUGGGACUGAGAUACGGCCCAGACUGCUACGGGAGGCAGCAGUGGGGAAUAUUGCACAAGGGGCGGAAGCCUGAUGCAGCAACGCCGCGUGCGGGAUGACGGCCUUCGGGUUGUAAACCGAUUUCGCAUGUGAUGAAGCGUGAGUGACGGUAAUGGGUAAAGAAGCAACGGCUAACUACGUG